GCGCAGUAUGACCUCUAAACAGCGCUGUGUACGCGGUUAUGAUCAGGAUCCUGUCAGUCAUUCGGCGUUCACCGUACGCACGCGAUCCGACGUCGUAGCGUAGCUUCGUGUACGCGCCUGUAAGCAGCAGCUCGGUGUGACUCCUGGUUCAGUUCAGUGUUAUUCAGCGCUUGUGUACGCGUCAUGAAGUCGUUCUGGACAGUAAUAAUUCCAGGCUGUGAAUAAAGUGUUGGUGUAUAAUCUGUAGAGCUGAAUACGAAUACAGGUGGGUUUUUCUUUUCUUUCUAAAUGUAAAUCGAAACAUUAUUUAAUGUUUAAGACACAAUGAAAGAAGUCAAUCAGCGUUUUAUCACAGUUUAUGAAUUUUAUUUUAAAUACAUGACAUUCCUUUCCACUCGGUGUGUGUGUGUGUGUGUGGGGGGGGGGGGGGGGGGGUUUAUUCUUGCGAUUUCAGUUGGUGGAUUUUUUUUGUAGCUUGCCGUUUAAGUUUGUCCAAAAUCAGGACGUCUGUGUAGUCCGGCUUUUUAUUUCCUCUGGACGGCUCCGUACUGACAGUAUUGUGAAUAUCGUGACGUAUCGUGUAACUGAUGAUCAACACAGCUCCAGGAUCGAAAUUCUAACACAUUACUGUUUUUAUCUCAGCUUCUAAAAGCAUCCAUUUCUCUCUCUCACACACACACACGCGCGCAGUGUAAAUCCACCAGUCGGAAUCGUUUGCACUUGGUCUGAAAGACGGUUUAUUUUAAUGUGUGAUUGUAGAAGCUCUAUUUUAUAAAGCGAGUCUGUAUGCGAUGUACGGUGACGUGUUGCACAGAGUAAUAAACACACGCAGAACUGAAGACAAAAAGAACGUUCAAGUCUCUGUCUUUCUUUCUUUCUUUCUUUCUUUCUUUCUUUCUUUUGUUCCUAAAAUUAUACAGUAGUUUUAGUAAAACGCUCCGAAUUACACAGAAAUUCUAAUGGUUUCCACUACGUAUACCAUUACAAACCAUUAGCUAAGCAUUAAAAC
Long non-coding RNA from Ictalurus punctatus (channel catfish), 1009 nucleotides. The record is from Ensembl. NCBI's taxonomy places the organism in Eukaryota, Metazoa, Chordata, Actinopteri, Siluriformes, Ictaluridae.